UACGAAGGGGGCUAGCGUUGCUCGGAAUCACUGGGCGUAAAGGGUGCGUAGGCGGGUCUUUAAGUCAGGGGGGAAAUCCUGGAGCUCAACUCCAGAACUGCCUUUGAUACUGAGGAUCUUGAGUUCGGGAGAGGUGAGUGGAACUGCGAGUGUAGAGGUGAAAUUCGUAGAUAUUCGCAAGAACACCAGUGGCGAAGGCGGCUCACUGGCCCGGAACUGACGCUGAGACGCGAAAGCGUGGGGAGCAAACAGG
This 253-nucleotide ribosomal RNA is filed under the name uncultured bacterium. Its description in RNAcentral is "partial 16S ribosomal RNA". It matches the Rfam family "Bacterial small subunit ribosomal RNA", at positions 524 to 776 of the family's 1533-position model. The record is from RNAcentral.